RNAcentral lists this ribosomal RNA (685 nucleotides) under uncultured bacterium. Its description in RNAcentral is "bacterial SSU rRNA". It matches the Rfam family "Bacterial small subunit ribosomal RNA", at positions 143 to 845 of the family's 1533-position model. The record is from RNAcentral.
AUAGCCCGAUGAAAGUUGGAUUAAUACCGCAUAUAGCUAUAUAGUUGCAUGAUUAUGUAGUGAAAGAUUUAUUGGUAUAGGAGGAGUCUGCGGCACAUUAGCUAGUAGGUGAGGUAAAGGCUUACCUAGGCGACGAUGUGUAGCCGGUCUGAGAGGAUGAACGGCCACAAUGGAACUGAGACACGGUCCAUACUCCUACGGGAGGCAGCAGUGGGGAAUAUUGCACAAUGGGGGAAACCCUGAUGCAGCAACGCCGCGUGAGUGAAGAAGGUUUUCGGAUUGUAAAGCUCUGUUAGCAGGGAAGAGGAAGGACGGUACCUGCAGAGGAAGCCACGGCUAACUACGUGCCAGCAGCCGCGGUAAUACGUAGGUGGCAAGCGUUGUUCGGAAUAACUGGGCGUAAAGGAUGCGUAGGCGGUUAAACAAGUUAUAUGUUAAAUAUAUAGGCUUAACCUGUAGAAAGCAUAUAAAACUGUUUAACUAGAGUGCAGGAGAGGUAAGUGGAAUUCCUAGUGUAGCGGUGAAAUGCGUAGAGAUUAGGAAGAACACCAGUGGCGAAGGCGACUUACUGGACUGUAACUGACGCUGAGGCAUGAGAGCAUGGGGAGCAAACAGGAUUAGAUACCCUGGUAGUCCAUGCUGUAAACGAUGGAUAGUAGGUGUGGGUUGUGAAUAACAAUUCGUG